Molecule: non-coding RNA, 75 nt
Organism: Myotis brandtii (Brandt's bat)
Lineage: Eukaryota; Metazoa; Chordata; Mammalia; Chiroptera; Vespertilionidae
Source: Rfam
GGCAGUUCUCAGGUGAUGCACACCGGAAGUGGGCUCCCUCCUCUCUGGUUCUGGAUGUGUCACCCGAGAACCCCA